This 261-nucleotide non-coding RNA is filed under the name Megasphaera sp. RNAcentral's name for it is "T-box sequence". It matches the Rfam family "T-box leader". From Rfam's summary of the family: Uncharged tRNA acts as the effector for transcription antitermination of genes in the T-box leader family. T-boxes are found upstream of many aminoacyl-tRNA synthetase genes and some amino acid biosynthetic genes usually in Gram-positive bacteria. The record is from RNAcentral. Lineage: Bacteria; Bacillati; Bacillota; Negativicutes; Veillonellales; Veillonellaceae.
CAAACAGUGUUGAUUGGGAAAAGUACUUACAGACCCUGACAGUACAGAGAACCUGCUGCACGGUGAGAGGCAGGAUGUAAAGACUAUAAGGAAUAUCACCCAGGAGCUGCCAGCUGAACGCAUCGCAAGUAAGCGUGGCCGAUUGACAAUCGUUACCUUGUCCGGCAUUGAACGUCAGAGAAAUCUUUCGGUGAUGUCAGUAGAGUGGUCGUUCACGACAAUAAGAGUGGUACCGCAGAGCUAUAGCGCUUUGUCUCUUUC